Long non-coding RNA from Arabidopsis lyrata subsp. lyrata, 427 nucleotides. RefSeq lists it as uncharacterized. The transcript is spliced from 3 exons. NCBI's taxonomy places the organism in Eukaryota, Viridiplantae, Streptophyta, Magnoliopsida, Brassicales, Brassicaceae. The record is from RefSeq and is a predicted model, not a curated record.
CUAGGUUCUGAUCCUGCAUUCAUAACGACAAUAUACAAUCAAAACGGGUUCGACUCUGGAAUUGGUGUUAGCCGAUGGCAAAAAUCAAAACUUAUAGAGGAAUAAGAAGUGUCAAAGUCUUGUGAUGCUUCACAAGUUCGUAUCAAUCAUCCAUAACCAGAAGCUCAUGCAUUUACUAAAUUCAAAAUAGAGGACCCAUUCACAUCCAUACAUAAGCAGAUCCCAAAGCCGUCUUUAUCAAGGAAUGUUUUCUCAGAAUCACAAUAUUAGGGUCUAAUUCUUAUAUGUGGAAAACCAAAUCAAUCCCUCAAGAACAUCAAACCCUAAGUUUUUUUAACCUAUUAUCUAAACAAUUUCGAUUUUUAUGUGUAUGUGAAGCCUCUGAUAAUUGUGAAUGUUUUUAUAUGGAAUUGGUGACCAUUUUUAA